This is a non-coding RNA of Taeniopygia guttata (zebra finch), 1605 nucleotides long. The record is from RefSeq and is a predicted model, not a curated record. NCBI's taxonomy places the organism in Eukaryota, Metazoa, Chordata, Aves, Passeriformes, Estrildidae.
UUUGUUUUUUGUUUUUUUUUUUUUUUAAAUUUAGGAAUAUCUUGUUCCUAAGCACGUAAAUUCUUAGUCUUCAUUCUAAUAGUGCCUAAUUAUCAGAAUCUAGCUGUUGAAGCUGUUCCUUCAGCCCUCUAGUGGUAAAAGGACUAGGUAAAUUACUAGAAUUGCAGUCAAUUUUUAUGUUCUAUUGGUGUUGCAGAUUUCACUGUGAAAAUAAAAUCACAAGAUGAUUUGCAGUUACUAUAUAGGACUACUCCAUGGCUGGAAAUUUUUCUGCUCUGUUACAGAAAGAUUAAUUUAUUUCCUCCAUCCUGCCUUUCCUGUCUAAAAUCUAGUUCAUUUUUAGUAUCAGCAGAUAGAUUGUUAAAAACACCCCAACAAACGAAUAAAAAUCCACCCAACAGCAAAUGCCUUUUAAAUCAUGAAAGCAGUGAUAUUACUUUUCUUUUUCUUUUUUUUUUUUUUUUUUUUUUUCUGGAGAAAUUUCUGUGGAGAAAUUUAACAGCAUUUAAUACAUUUAUCUUAAAAGUAAAUGGAGAUGCUUAUAUUCUUCCCACAUAUUACAGGAACAUCUGUUCCUCUGAAUUCCAGUACUGCUCCGUGAGGUACAUGCAGAGGAUCCCAAAGGACUGAAGCCAUCUGUCAUGUUCCACAGGCAGGAAUGCUCCUACCUCUGGGGCUCAGGCACACAACAGUUCUCUCAGUACCCAAGGCAGCUCUGCAACACUUGCCCUCAUCUUAAUGGUUGAGAUCUGCUGGGCCUUCACUAUGGACUUUUAUAGAAUUAUGGCUGAUGAUUCCAGGUGAUUCUUGGCAGAGCUGGAGGGGUGAUGACAGCGGCCCUGUGCUGUCCCUGCGUGCUGUGAGCAGCGAGCAGAGCUGCCUCUGUGUGCCCUGGUGUGAUCUGGGGAUCCCUCUCUGUUUGCCAAAGCCAAACACCAAAGUGCAGCUGGAAAGCUCUUACGAGACAAUGCUAUUUAUUCUGUUUUAGUGCCACAGAAACUUCUCAAUCUAUUAGAAAAAGAACAGCUGGAAGGAGGAAAGAGACAAAUGCCAAAGUCUCUGCUUGGACUGUGUUCCUACCUAGUAGAGCAAGAGGCAUAUCCCUGAAUAAUAUCCAGAAAGGAAUGCAGGAUCUGCCCAUCUGUAUGGAACUAAUUUAAAUGUGCCCAUGGCAUUCUACCAGCUGAGAAAGAUUCCAUAGAAUUUUCACAUCCUCUAUGCUCUCCUUUCAGAAGUAAUGCCAUUUUCUCAAAAAACUGUCUUACCAUUUGUUUGUUCUGAAGCCCUGUUGAGGUGUUUCUUAAAUAUUAAGCCUGCUUUAUCCAUGAAAAAUGUCCAUCAUGCUAAAGCCAAGCAAAGAUCUGAGAUGUGAAUAAAUAUGUAAGAAAAGGGAGGUUGCAAGCACAGUUUUGUUGCUGUUUGUCAGAUAUCCUGAGUUCACACCCCAGGGCUGCAGCCAGGUAAUUAACGUCUGCAACACUUAAGUUGCUAAAUUUAAUUGUCUGUUUUCUUGUUCUCUCACUUAAUAUUUUCCUGUAUUUCCACACUGUAUGUCUUACUUUGUACAUAAUUCCAAUAAAAUCACUGUUGCUAUUUCAGAAAAAA